RNAcentral lists this ribosomal RNA (511 nucleotides) under Culex brami. Its description in RNAcentral is "partial large subunit ribosomal RNA". It matches the Rfam family "Bacterial large subunit ribosomal RNA", at positions 1856 to 2624 of the family's 2925-position model. The record is from RNAcentral. Lineage: Eukaryota; Metazoa; Arthropoda; Insecta; Diptera; Culicidae.
AACCUGCCCACUGAUAAAAAUUAAAGGGCCGCAGUAUUUUGACUGUGCGAAGGUAGCAUAAUCACUAGUCUUUUAAUUGGAGGCUUGUAUGAAUGGUUGAAUGAGAUAUAUACUGUCUUUUUUAAAAUUAUAUAGAAUUUUAUUUUUUAAUUAAAAAGUUAAAAUAAAAUUAAAGGACGAGAAGACCCUAUAGAUCUUUAUUUUUGUUAUUUAUAAAUUAAAAAGAAUAUUAAAAUUUAUAAUUUAAUUAAAAAUUUUAUUGGGGUGAUAUUAAAAUUUAAAAAACUUUUAAAAUAUAUAAACAUUAAUAUAUGAGUUAAUGAUCCAGUUUUAUUGAUUAAAAAUUUAAGUUACCUUAGGGAUAACAGCGUAAUUUUUUUUUAGAGUUCAUAUCGACAAAAAAGAUUGCGACCUCGAUGUUGGAUUAAGAGUUAUUUUUAGGUGUAGAAGUUUAAAGUUUAGGUCUGUUCGACCUUUGAAUUCUUACAUGAUCUGAGUUCAAAACCGGAGA